Molecule: non-coding RNA, 66 nt
Filed under: Enterobius vermicularis (human pinworm)
Lineage: Eukaryota; Metazoa; Nematoda; Chromadorea; Rhabditida; Oxyuridae
Description: ArsR-gov region gene B
Rfam family: ArsR-gov region gene B
About the family: arsR-gov region gene B is transcribed opposite of dinQ (translates into a toxic single transmembrane peptide) with 30 complimentary nucleotides. AgrB appears to repress accumulation of dinQ by RNA interference and counteracts its toxicity.
Source: Rfam by way of RNAcentral
UUAGAUGAUGGCUAUCUCACUCCAGUCAGAGCCACCAACUCAGGGCUGGAAAGUAAAAAACCGACG